GUCGGUUUAAAACCGACAUUAAACGACCCCCUUUUGAAAACCGACAUUAAAGCCCCUUUGUAAUUUCUUUUUUAUUUUUUUUAAUUUGGUAAAAAAUCAAGUUUCCUCUCUCUAUAUAAAUUCUCCUCCUCUCUUCUUUUUCCUCUUUAGUCGUCGCCUUUUCCCCUUUCCAUCAAAACCCUAAACCUUUUCCCCUUUCCAUCAAAACCCUAAAGGUAUUCCAUCCAAUUCGACGAAAUUUUGGUGUUUGUCCGUCGUUGAGAAAUGUCUUUCAACAUCAACCGGUUCAAUCCUCAAUCAGCCGUCGAGAAAGCGGUUUCAGUUAUCGGCUUCGGCUACGAUCUCUGUAACGAUUUGCGAUUGUCUUCUUGCAAGCCGGGUCCAUCGGGGUCUAAGCUGAUACUUCAUUCGAAGUAGAGACCUUGUACUUCCGGCUGGCGUUGUCGUCCCUAAUGUUCCUACUUCCAUCAACUGUGAUAAAGGCGAGCGUACCCGAUUCCGGUCGGAUGUCAUCUCCUUCAAUCAGAUAUGUGAGGUGCAAAGGCUUUUAGGACCCUUGUCGGGCAAAUCAUCAAUUUACUGUUCGGAUCCAUCCGUUUUGAGAUAUCUAAGAGCAAGAAACUGGAAUGUGAAGAAGGCAACUAAAAUGUUGAAAGCAACUUUGAAGUGGAGGACAGAAUACAACUUUGGUUGAAAGCUAAGCGAUUGUGUAGAAAUGGUCAAGCGACCGUUGAAAAUUGAAGACUGAGAAGGCAUUUAGGAUUUUUAAUUAUUUAAUUCUUGUAUUAGAAUCUUUUUUCAUGUACUAUUGUAGAAUUGUAUAUAUAAACAUAAUAUUAAUAUUUUAUUUUGUGUAUUCAAAUGUAAAAGACAAAUGUUAUAGUUUCUAACAUAAUAUGAAUUUCAUUGA
This is a long non-coding RNA of Cucumis melo (muskmelon), 910 nucleotides long. RefSeq lists it as uncharacterized. The transcript has 2 exons. NCBI's taxonomy places the organism in Eukaryota, Viridiplantae, Streptophyta, Magnoliopsida, Cucurbitales, Cucurbitaceae. The record is from RefSeq and is a predicted model, not a curated record.